This 348-nucleotide unclassified non-coding RNA is filed under the name soil metagenome. RNAcentral's name for it is "partial contains 5.8S ribosomal RNA, internal transcribed spacer 2, and large subunit ribosomal RNA". The stretch from base 1 to 120 matches the Rfam family "5.8S ribosomal RNA", at positions 35 to 154 of the family's 154-position model. The record is from RNAcentral.
GAUGAAGAACGUAGCGAAAUGCGAUAAGUAAUGUGAAUUGCAGAAUUCAGUGAAUCAUCGAAUCUUUGAACGCACAUUGCGCCCGCCAGUAUUCUGGCGGGCAUGCCUGUCUGAGCGUCAUUUCAACCCUCAUGCCCCUAGGGCGUGGUGUUGGGGAUCGGCCAAAGCCCGCGAGGGACGGCCGGCCCCUAAAUCUAGUGGCGGACCCGUCGUGACCUCCUCUGCGAAGUAGUGAUAUUCCGCAUCGGAGAGCGAUGAGCCCCUGCCGUUAAACCCCCAACUUUCCAAGGUUGACCUCAGAUCAGGUAGGAAUACCCGCUGAACUUAAGCAUAUCAAUAAGCGGAGGA